This is a long non-coding RNA of Drosophila ananassae, 1103 nucleotides long. RefSeq lists it as uncharacterized. The transcript is spliced from 2 exons. The record is from RefSeq and is a predicted model, not a curated record. NCBI's taxonomy places the organism in Eukaryota, Metazoa, Arthropoda, Insecta, Diptera, Drosophilidae.
ACGACGAGGACGAUGAUGGGGAAAGUGCUGCUGGGACUUCAAGGAAACUUGAGCGGCAUCCUUACACUAAAAAUUAACCGAGCAGGCAAGCUCCCAAGUCCCGCGGGCAUUUUUAGUCGAAAGUGUUUUAAUCAAACGCCUCUCUACACUUGCCCCAGCCGGAAGCCGGUUCGGGGUCAAAGUUGCUCCUUAGUCUGUUUUUGUUUUUCUUAUUGUUGUGUAGUUGCUUGUUGUUGUUUGUCAGACUAUAUUAUUGUUAUGAGAACAAUAAUAACAACCAAUGGGGAAGGAGAGUACUAUGCGAAAAAUCGCAGCUGAGAAGCGGAUUGCUCUUGAUUGUUGAUGCCGCUCAUAACCCGAAAUGUAUUACCUGAGGAACUCUUUUCAAAUUACUAAGAUUUAAAGCUCAAAAGCUCAUCAAAAACAGACCUAAUAGGGCAAGUAAAAAAUUCCAGUGUAUUCCCACGGCAGACCGACUGACUGAUGUCCGUUGUGUCCGUCUUGGGCUGACAACAUUUCGACACUUUUCCUAAUUAUGAUAGGCAUGUUGCCGGCAUGAUGAGCCUAAUUCUGGUGCCGACUAUUACGAUGAUGAUGAUGAUGGAAAUUGGCUUAACCCCAGGGCGCUCAGCCGCAGUUAUGAAGCGGCGCAAUCUCCGCAAUGGAACGGAAGGACAAGACUAAGGACUCUCGGCCGGACACUCUCAUCAAAAUGCCAGCCUAGUUAUCACCCAUAAUGAUGACGGCCGCAAAGUGUGGAUGGUGUUGGAGAAGAGACGACCGAAAGCAGGGCGUAACUUUGUGUAAUAAUUGUUGUUAAGCGUUUAAGUCGGGCGUGCCACUUUGGCGGCUAACCGAGUGGCAUCUCGUGGGAGAAUAACCCAGGACUUGAACAACUUAUCGCUACCGCAAGGCAGUCAGCCAGCCGAGUAGCCAACGAGCCAAAAAGCCAACAAUGGAGCGAAGGUCCAACGGAAUCUGUGGUUGAGUUAGGUUCGUUUUCGGGACUGGCUCUUCUCGGUUACUUCACUUUUUGCUACAAGCAUUCAAUGGUGCUCAAGCGGGCAGCUGAAUUUGAUUAAACAAAAGCGAAAGUUUUAAAA